GGUUAAGAUGCAGUGUAUAUGCAAGUGGACCCCUCAUUGGAAGGAUUUGGCAUGGCUCAAAUAAACUUCUGUGUUUCUUAUUCUGAAUAGAAAUGAACAGCUGUCUUCUCACCUGGAGGUGUACGCUGUACAGGAAAUUUUGCAGAUGAGGAAAGGAGAGAGCCUGCACUAUGUCUCCCUCAUUGAGAGACAAAACUGUUGUAUUCACUCCUAAUGUAAUUUCCAACUUCAGUAGAAGAAUAUGAUAUUUAUUUUUAAAAUACCGCAAUUGUGUUCAGCUGCUCAGGAGGAAGCCUUGAGUCUGUGGCAAUGGAGAGCACUAGAAAAGGGACAGGAGGGAGCUCAAAAGAGGCUGGAAGAACCAAGCAGUCUUGAAGGCGGAAAGGUAGGUGGGAAUGCUCCUCCACACUUUGAAUUUACCAUGGUGUUUUGCAGUAAGUCAUGCUUUUGGUAGAAUAAGCUGAGAUGUACUUUCUGUGAUUAACAGAGGAAUCCAAUUCAAAUGUGGAGGUUUCUCAGCAUGACUGUUCCAUCUGUAGGAACCAGGCCUUGGUACCUUGUGGACAGAGCUUGGCUUGGGAAGGCAGGCUCUGUCACUUGCUCCGAGGUGUUUUACCUGGCUCCUCAAUGGGGAGAAGCCUCUGAGGAUGCAUUUUCAUCAUUUGUCCACCUCCGAGUUGUUCUAAAGAGUUUUGAAUUU
This 700-nucleotide long non-coding RNA is filed under the name Cairina moschata (Muscovy duck). Its description in RNAcentral is "domestica (muscovy Duck (domestic type)) lncRNA (ENSCMMG00000013909.1)". Lineage: Eukaryota; Metazoa; Chordata; Aves; Anseriformes; Anatidae. The record is from RNAcentral.